Molecule: ribosomal RNA, 792 nt
Filed under: uncultured bacterium
Lineage: Bacteria
Description: bacterial SSU rRNA
Rfam family: Bacterial small subunit ribosomal RNA
Source: RNAcentral
AGAGUUUGAUCCUGGCUCAGAACGAACGCUGGCGGCGUGCUUAACACAUGCAAGUCGCGUGCGCAGUUUCCGUAGCAAUACGGGGAUGGGCGCACGGCGCACGGGUGCGUAACACGUGGGCAAUCUGCCCUCCGAUGGGGAAUACCCCCGCGAAAGCGGGACUAAUUCCGCAUAACAUUCCUUGGAUUAAUUUUCGAGGAUUCAAAGCAGCAAUGCGUCGGAGGAGGAGCCCGCGCCCGAUUAGCUAGUUGGUGAGGUAACGGCUCACCAAGGCAAUGAUCGGUAGCUGGUCUGAGAGGAUGGCCAGCCACACUGGAACUGAGACACGGUCCAGACUCCUACGGGAGGCAGCAGUGGGGAAUCUUGCACAAUGGGCGAAAGCCUGAUGCAGCGACGCCGCGUGGGGGAUGAAGCUUCUCGGAGUGUAAACCCCUUUCGACUGGGACGAAUGCCUCGCAAGAGGAGUGACGGUACCAGUAUAAGAAGCCCCGGCUAACUACGUGCCAGCAGCCGCGGUAAGACGUAGGGGGCCAGCGUUGUUCGGAAUUACUGGGUGUAAAGGGUUCGUAGGCGGUGUGGCAAGUCGGGAGUGAAAUCUCUGGGCUCAACCCAGAGACUGCUUCCGAAACUGCUGUGCUUGAGUGUGAGAGAGGCUCGUGGAAUUGCAGGUGUAGCGGUGAAAUGCGUAGAUAUCUGCAGGAACACCCGUGGCGAAAGCGGCGAGCUGGAUCACUACUGACGCUGAGGAACGAAAGCUAGGGGAGCAAACAGGAUUAGAUACCCUAGUAGUCC